AUAUACACAUAUAUCUAUUUUAUAUAUAAAUGUAUUCAUACUUACCGUAAUUUUCUUUUCCUGGUCAUAGGCCAUGGCAGCACAACAAUGGGUAGCUCCUCCCCAUCCCCAGUUAGACAGGAACUAAUUAAAACAAGGGUAUAAGUAACCCCUCCUACCCUCAGUCUUGUAUUCCAGCAAAAAUCCCUGGGCGGGAUCUUUGUGCUGCCAUGUCCUAUGACCAGGAAGAGAAAAUUACAGUAAGUAUGAAUAAAUUGUCCUCUUUCCUGGCCAUAUCCAUGGCAGCACAACAAUGGGUAAUACCCAAGCAGAACGAAGGGAGGGAAAAGAAUACACGGACUCAAUGUUGGAUGCUGAAAGGACACUUUUACCAAACUUGUCCCAUUGACAAGCUCUGACAUCUAUUUGAUAAUGCCGAAUAAAAGGUGUUCACCGAAGACCAUCUAGCUGCUCUGCAGAUAAGCUCUGGAGAUACUCUCGCUGCGGCUGCCCAAGAGGAGGAAAGGGACCUGGUCGAGUGAGCCUUUAGACCGUUCGGUACUGGAAUGGUAAGCCUGAAUGAUAGAGACAAUCCAUCUGCUCACGGCCUCUUUAGAAGCUUGGCGACCUUUCCUAGCCCCAUUCGGUAUGAUGAAUAGCUGAUCCGACGAACGCCAGCCAAGAGAUCAGUCAAUAUAGAUUCUUAAACAUCUUACCAAAUCCAGUGGAGAAGAACCUCCUUCUUGGGAAUGUUCUUCUUGCGUCAGGGCAGGAAGCACUAUGUCUUCAUUAACAUGAAAUGCCGUGGUUACCUUAGGGCGAAAUUCGUGAAUGGUUCUUAGAAUCACCCUGUCUCUGUGAAACACCAUGAAAAGGCUCUUUGACUGAUAAGGCACUGAGCUCCGAAACCCUUCUUCCUGAUGCUAAUGCCACCAGCAAAACGGUCUUGAUGGUAAGAUGAGGAGAGAUGGACUCCAGGGGUUCGAAGGAAGCGGACUUGAUGGCUUGUAAUACCGGGGGUAGAUCCCAUGGGGGAGCAAAUGGCUUGAUCGGAGGUUUAAUCUUGAGGACUGCAGCAAGAAACCUAGAUACAUCUGGGUUAAAGUCCCAUUUGUGGUCAGUGAGAGCUGAAACAGCGGAGACAUGUAACUUUAAGGUAUUGUAGCUCAAACCCUUAUCCAGACCUGUUUGUAGAAACUCCAAGAUGUCUUUAAUUGCAGGAUGCUGUAUGUUAACCUGCUUGGGAGAGGCCCAGGAAGAAAAAGCAUACCAAAUUCUAUAGUAGGUAGAGGAAGUGGAUCGCUGUAACAGGGUAUCUGUGACUGCAACCGAGAAACCCUUCUCUAGAAGCCUUUCCCUUUCAACCUCCAGGCCUUCAGGUUGAGUGAUGCUGGGUCUGGGUGUAGGAUAGGACCCUGGUGCCGAAGAGAAGGAACUGCUGGAAGAUCCCACGGAGGUUCCUGACAGAGGCUCAGAAGAAGAGAGAUCCAAGGCCGGCGAGGCCAGUAUGGGGCAAACAGGGUCAUGAAAACAGGUUCCUCCCGAAUCCAUCUUAGUAGAGGAAGUAUGAGGGGAGACGGAGGAAAUGCAUACCCCUUUGUGAACUUCCAUUUGCAUGAUAGGGCAUCCCUCUCCCGGGCCUGCGGUUCGGACCCCUCGAGAAGAAUCCCUGGAGCUUGCUGUUGGUGGCCAUGAUGUCUGAGGAAGAUCCCAUUUCUUCACAAUAUCCUUGAAGACUUCGUCUGAGAGGCUCCACUCUCCUGGGUCUAUUCUUACCCUGCUGAGGAAGUCUGCUACCGUAUUCUGCACUCCUGGCAGAUUAAUCGCCACUAGCCCACAAGGUUCUUCUGUGCCAAAAUCAUCAGGGAAAUCAUCAACCUUACCAUACUGCGACUUCGGUUACCUCCUUGAUGACGGAUAUGUGCUACUACUGUAGCACUGUCCGUUCUCACCUUCACCCACUUGUGCUGUAUUAAAUGCUGAAAGUGUUUCAGAGCUCUGAAAACGCCAGAAGUUCCAGAAGGUUUGAGUGGGUCUCGUGUGCAUGAAACUCCCACUUCCCCUGGGUGACCUUGUUCUGAAGGUAGGCUCCCCAACCCCAGUGACUGUCGUCUGUCGUUAUAGUAAUCCAGGGAAUGUUCCCAAGGGAGAACCCUGAGAACAGAGCCUUCUUGUUCAUCCACCACGUCAGUCUUAGAUGGACCAGGGUGGAAAUCCUGAUGGGCUGGAGUAGGUUCUUCCCUCUGUAUUGGGAAAGAAAAUUCCUUUGGAGUGUUCUCAUUCUCCAUUGCGCCCAUUUUGUCAAGUCUAUGGUUGAUGACAUGGAUCCUAGUAGGCUCAUGACUUUCUCUGCCAUGGCGACCUUGACUUGUAUCUCCUUCAUCUUCCUGAUGAGCUUUACUCCUCUUUCUCUUGAGAGCUGAACUGUCCCCAGUGCAGUGUUGAACAAGGCUCCUAAAUAAAGCAUGGAAUGUGAAGGAAUAAGGUGACUCUUUUCUCCAUUUAUCUUCCAGCCGUGUUCCUGCAGAUCUGUAUGCAGAUCUGUCCCUGUUGCUUGAGAGUGUACCUGUCCUCUGACAGCACCAGGAUAUCGUCCAGAUAAUGAAAAAUGGCAAUUCCCCGCUUUCUUAAUUCUGCGACCAGGAUCUUUGAGAAAGUGCGAGGAGCCAUACUGAGGCCAAAGGGAAGGGUUCGGAACUGGAAGUGCCCUCCUUCUACUGCGAAUCUCAGAUAUCUUUGAUGCAGUUGAGUGAUCGGAACAUGGAAGUAAGCAUCUUGCAGAUCUACACAGAUAUCAGCCAUUGCCCUGGGAAGACUGCUUUGAUUAUGGACUGAAGCGACUCCAUUUUGAAUCUUCUUACGUUCAAUCGCUUGUUGAGAGUGUGAAGAUCUAGAAUGGGUCUCCAUGCUCCUGAGGACUUUUUUGUGAGGAAUAGGUGAGAAUAAAACCUGUGUGUUCUUUCCUCCUUUGGAACCUCCAUAAUGACGCCUUCUUCAUGUAGGGAAGAAAAAACUCCAGAAGAGCCAAUCUCUGGUCGCUGUCUCCCGGCCAUCUUGUAAUUUGAAAACUGCGACGAGGUGGGGCAUCUCUGAAUUCCAGAAGAUAUCCUCUUUUGAUGAUGUCCAGCACCCACUUGUCUUUGGUAGAAGACUCCCAUCUCUUUUGGAAUAGGAGGCGGCGUGCUCCUACCCCUCAAGGCUGGGAGAUCAACCGGUCAUAAAGCUCUCGUGUUCCUGCUGAAUGCAGAACCUCUGGAUCUUCCUCCCCUGACUGAAGACUGUCCCCCUCUCCAAGGCUGGGAUCUUCUGUAUUCUCUACCUGGUCUGUAGGAUUUGAAGUCCCGAAAGGAAGAUUGAUCGGAAGGUCUUUUGGGUCGAAAAGAUCUCUUUGGCCUACGAUCUUGAGGUAAAAAAAGCAUUCUUGCCAUCUGCCGCUUUCUUAUUGCAAUCAUCCAGGUUCUUCCCAAAGAGCAUGUCUCCAUAGAAUGGUAAAGAGCAGAGGGUAUUUUUAGAUGAAGCAUCUGCUGACCAGGAUCUGAGCUACAAAGCCCUUCUAGCUGAGAUGGAAAAUGCCAUGUUCCUGGCCACUCCUUUGACCAUAUCCACUGAGGAUUCAGUAGUGAAAUCUACGGCCAGCUUAAUGUCUUGUAGAUUGCCCAUGAGGUUAGAUAUGCUUCUGCCCUCUUUGAUAUCCUCCUCCAAGCCUUCCAGCCAGAUCUUCAAAGCUCUGGAGACCGAGGUAAGGGCUACCGUGGGGUGGAGGCCUGUGCCUGCUGCCACAUAGGCCCUGGACAGGUUAGAGUCCAUCUUUUUAUCCAUGGAGUCUCAGAGAGCCAGCAUUAUCUACUGGCAAUGUGGUGCUCUUGGCCAGUCUUACCACCGCUGCAUCCACUUUAGGGGCUGAUUCCCAGUGGCCUGCGUCCUUUUUGUCAAAAGGGUAAAGGCGAGAAAUUCUCCCCUGAUUGGGAAGUUUCCUCUCUGUUUUGGACCAUUCUUCCAUAAUGAUGCCAUUAAUCGCCUCAUGAACCGGGAAAGUAACCCUCUUUUUGAGGUCAGAAAAGUAUCGACUGGAUGUAGAAGGCUCUUCUCUUGAAGGUUCCUUCAUGCUCAGAGACUUGCGGACACUGGAAAUUAAGUGAUCCACUUCGGUUGGGUCCAAAGUGUCUCUUUAAUGCCUUGGGAUACAGCAUUUUGAAUAAUUUGCAUCAAAUCCGGGGUGGAUGAUGCGGGACAUCCUGCGGCCUGUAUGCAAUCUGAGCAUAGGCGCUUCCCCUCCAGGGCCCUCUUGUCACAUGCUUCACAUAGGGACCUUACAGGAGACUUUCCUUUGGAUGUUCCUGUUGUAUUUUUCCCUUUAGUACUACUAUAAUAAGGGAAAAAUAUUAGCUAGCACUCUUUUGUUUAGAAGAAAAAUUGAAGAAAAAAAAUAUAGGAAAUGGCUUGCCCCUGAGAUUUAGAUAGUGACCUUUUACUUUGAACUGAUGAGUCUGAAUCCAUGAUCUCAGAUGAAGUCAUCUAUAAAAGUUAAGCCCAUAAAAUACUAGAAGGCUUAAAAAUAAGGUUAAAAACACAUCAACUGAAUAAAUAACAAAAAACAGACCAACUGUGCCUUUAAAAGACUUUCCUUCAGUCUGCACCACAAAACUGGGUGAAGACCGCACUGUACCGCUUUAAGUUAGCAGAGACUGUGUAGGAAAGUUAAAUUUCAGUAUUGGCGCUUUAAAAAGGGCGCCCAAACUACUGAAUGAUGUUAUCGGCACUGCGACGUACCGCGCAUGCGCAAGCGGCACUUCCGCGCAUGCGCGAAACGGCAUGACGCGAAUGCACUGUUCGUGCAUGCGCAAUGGCAAAAAUCUGACGCCAAGCCAGCAAAGAGACCCCAGGUCUCCCAACCUCAGCAGACCGCCAGAAAUGUGGCGAAAAUGCCGCGAAUAGGGACAGGGGAACCCUAGCUCAUCAGGGAAGCCCUGUACUCCCCCAGAAGGGAGAAUAAACACCGGGCAGAUAACUGCUGCAUUAAGAGGAGGAAUGCCUCCCAAUCAAAGAAGGCAGGAUUAACCAGGAAAAUGAAGAUAGAAGGGGGUAUAUGAAUACAGUUUAUGCCUUGCCCAUACCUGCUACCCCUAGGGUCACUGCAGUCAGUAGGGUAGUGGCUCCUUAUGCUUGCUGCCACUAGGGUCACUGCAAGGGGGUUCUCCAGGGUGACACCUUUGCACAGGGCCAUAUACUGGAGCUUCCCAAGGAAGAGAAGCUUAACUCCCCUGGGGCCAAGGGUAAAAACCCUUAAAGUAAGCCAUAAAAAAAAAAUAAAAAAAAAAAAAUCGUUGUCAGUCUGAAAAGACUAAUCUGUCCUAGAGAUAGGACAGGAACAAAAAGACUGAGGGUAGGAGGGGUACUUAUACCCGUGUUUUAAUUAGUUCCUGUUUAACUAGGGAUGGGGAGGAGC
This 5425-nucleotide long non-coding RNA is filed under the name Pelobates cultripes (western spadefoot toad). Lineage: Eukaryota; Metazoa; Chordata; Amphibia; Anura; Pelobatidae. The record is from RNAcentral.